GAUGAAGAACGCAGCGAAAUGCGAUAAGUAAUGUGAAUUGCAGAAUUCAGUGAAUCAUCGAAUCUUUGAACGCACCUUGCGCUCCUUGGUAUUCCGAGGAGCAUGCCUGUUUGAGUGUCAUUAAAUUCUCAACCUCACCAGUUUUCUGAACUGACCGAGGCUUGGAUGUGGGGGUUUGUGCAGGCUGCCUCACGGCGGUCUGCUCCCCUGAAAUGCAUUAGCGAGGUUCAUGCUGAACUUCCGUCUAUUGGUGUGAUAAUUAUCUACGCCGUGGACGAGGAUCAGACUCGCUUCUAACCGUCCGCGAGGACAAUACCUUGACAAUUUGACCUCAAAUCAGGUAGGACUACCCGCUGAACUUAAGCAUAUCAAUAAGCGGAGGA
Molecule: unclassified non-coding RNA, 383 nt
Filed under: soil metagenome
Description: partial contains 5.8S ribosomal RNA, internal transcribed spacer 2, and large subunit ribosomal RNA
Rfam family: 5.8S ribosomal RNA (bases 1-120)
Source: RNAcentral